This 252-nucleotide ribosomal RNA is filed under the name uncultured bacterium. RNAcentral describes it as "partial 16S ribosomal RNA". It matches the Rfam family "Bacterial small subunit ribosomal RNA", at positions 525 to 776 of the family's 1533-position model. The record is from RNAcentral.
ACGAAGGGGGCUAGCGUUGUUCGGAUUUACUGGGCGUAAAGCGCGUGUAGGCGGGCUGGAAAGUUGGGGGUGAAAUCCCGAGGCUCAACCUCGGAACUGCCUCCAAAACUUCCAGCCUGGACUCAAGUAGAGGCAAGUGGAAUUGCGAGUGUAGAGGUGAAAUUCGUAGAUAUUCGCAGGAACACCAGUGGCGAAGGCGACUUGCUGGACUUGUAGUGACGCUGAGACGCGAAAGCGUGGGGAGCAAACAGG